This is a non-coding RNA of Danio rerio (zebrafish), 73 nucleotides long. The record is from Rfam. NCBI's taxonomy places the organism in Eukaryota, Metazoa, Chordata, Actinopteri, Cypriniformes, Danionidae.
GCUCGUCUAGUUCAGUCGGUAGAGCACGAGACCCUUAAUCUCAGGGAUGUGGGUUCGAGCCCCACGUUGCGUG